Long non-coding RNA from Gorilla gorilla gorilla (western lowland gorilla), 900 nucleotides. RefSeq lists it as uncharacterized. Lineage: Eukaryota; Metazoa; Chordata; Mammalia; Primates; Hominidae. The transcript has 3 exons. The record is from RefSeq and is a predicted model, not a curated record.
UCAGGGGGCGCGAUGCCGCCUCACAGAACCUCAAGAGGCGCCCGGGUUCCGGCACAGAAGCCCGGCGGCUCCAGGGGGCGGAGCCGAGCCGCCUCCUCAGGACCUACGUAGGAGGCGCCGUCAUCCCUACAGGGACACCUGAGAGGACCCAGCCUCCUCCUCCUCAGGACCCACUCGGGAGACGCCGCUGGCUCUAUAGGAACACCUGGGGACCGUGGCCAGGGACGACCCAGCCUCCUUCUCCUCAGCUCCUCAGGAACGACUGGGGAAGCUGUGGCUUCGUGGUCCCCGAGGCUGCCCGAGGAAAGGUAUUUCAGGACAGCCAGGAGGGGGCGCACAUCCGCCGAGAAACUGUGAGCAAGAGCGUCUGUGCUGAACCACGGAGCCACCAGAGGGCGCGCGAUCCCGCCCCAACCAACUUCCCGCGGAGGUGCCAGAAGCAGCGAGGAGCUUCAACUUCCUCAGGGCAGCACGAGGGUCGUGUUAACUUGGUGUUCUUCAUUGGUAUUUCAGGACAGCCAGGAGGGGGCGCACAUCCGCCGAGAAACUGUGAGCAAGAGCGUCUGUGCUGAACCACGGAGCCACCAGAGGGCGCGCGAUCCCGCCCCAACCAACUUCCCGCUGAGGUGCCAGAAGCAGCGAGGAGCUUCAACUUCCUCAGGGCAGCACGAGGGUCGUGUUAACUUGGUGUUCUUCAUUGGUGAGUAAAAAGCUCCUGUCCACGGCCCUGAGUGCCAAGGAGUGAGUCUUUAGAGCACUCAGCAGAGGAAGAAAUCCAUCUAGAAAAAUAAAACCCCCAAAUCUCACUGUUUGGAGUACACCCUAACAUCAUUGUCAAUGUCCAAGACACAGUGGCUGCUAAUAUAUAUUCUUACAGUGGCCUCUAAUAUAAUAAUCACA